AUUUUAAUAGCUUAUAUAGAGCAUAAUAUUGAAGAUAUUAAGGAGAUUUAAAAUCUUAAAAUA
Molecule: transfer RNA, 63 nt
Filed under: Abscondita chinensis
Lineage: Eukaryota; Metazoa; Arthropoda; Insecta; Coleoptera; Lampyridae
Description: tRNA-Phe
Source: RNAcentral